AAAGGAAUAGACGGGGGCCCGCACAAGCGGUGGAGCAUGUGGUUUAAUUCGAUGCAACGCGAAGAACCUUACCAGGGUUUGACAUCCUCUGACAUACAUGGAAACAUGUACUCGUCCUUCGGGGCGCAGGGAGACAGGUGGUGCAUGGCUGUCGUCAGCUCGUGUCGUGAGAUGUUGGGUUAAGUCCCGCAACGAGCGCAACCCUUGUCCUAAGUUGCCAGCGAGUAAAGUCGGGAACUUUUAGGAGACCGCCGGCGACAAGCCGGAGGAAGGUGGGGAUGACGUCAAGUCAUCAUGCCCUUUAUGCCCUGGGCGACACACGUGCUACAAUGGCCGGUACAGAGGGCGGCGAAAGCGCGAGCUGGAGCGAAUCCCCCAAAACCGGUCCCAGUUCGGAUCGCAGGCUGCAACUCGCCUGCGUGAAGUAGGAAUCGCUAGUAAUCACGGGUCAGCAUACCGUGGUGAAUACGUUCCCGGGCCUUGUACACACCGCCCGU
RNAcentral lists this ribosomal RNA (497 nucleotides) under uncultured bacterium. Its description in RNAcentral is "bacterial SSU rRNA". It matches the Rfam family "Bacterial small subunit ribosomal RNA", at positions 903 to 1397 of the family's 1533-position model. The record is from RNAcentral.